UCCCUAGUGGUCUAGCGGUUAGGAUUCUGUGCUUUCACUGCAGAAGAUGUGGGUUCAAUCCCUGGUUGGGGAA
Molecule: transfer RNA, 73 nt
Filed under: Bos taurus (domestic cattle)
Lineage: Eukaryota; Metazoa; Chordata; Mammalia; Artiodactyla; Bovidae
Also listed under: 4 other names
Rfam family: tRNA
About the family: Transfer RNA (tRNA) molecules are approximately 80 nucleotides in length. Their secondary structure includes four short double-helical elements and three loops (D, anti-codon, and T loops).
Source: Rfam by way of RNAcentral